CUGGAACAUGACUUCUGCUAAUCAGAUGUCAUCAACAUACGAACUCCAACUUUGGCGGCCAUCAGCAAACUGUUUAAAACAGGUCUGAUGGGACAAGACUUUAAACAAUCACACAAAGAAAAACAAGGUACAAUGUGUGCUUCAGGUAUAAUUGAUGCUACACAAAAAAGCUCAACAGGGGGAUCAACCUAUUCAGGGAGAUCAUGCUAGGCUUUUAGCCAAGGAAGUGAAGACUGACUGAGAUCUGAAAUUACAGCAGGCGUUAAUAAGCUGAAGGAUGGGAAUGCCCUUUCCACCCAGGCCCAGCACCUGCAGGGCCGACCAGCUCCAGUCCCAGGUCCAAUCCUGAGUGGCCAAAAGCCGGAAACCCGGAGUUGGAAUUGGAUCUUGCACAAGCUGGACCAGGGAGUGAGGCUACUUGAGAAGCAUCUUAAAUGGGGAGAGAGAGCAAGUUAAAUCUGAUUUCCACGCAGCUCUGUGGAUUCCGAAUGUCCACAGUAUGAUGUUAUCUCCAUUCCCACUUCCGAGCCGCUCCUCUUCUGUGUUUCCUGCACCACCAUUCGCUCAGUUGCUCUACACUAAAAUUUGCUGUCAUCGUUGACUUCUCCCUCUCCUUCAUCCCCUACAAGUAUCAACAUAGACAACUCCGAUCAAUAUAAUCAUCAGUGAAUAAAGCAAAUUGCAGCGCAUAUUCUUAAAGACAAACUUUCCACUUGCAGCAGCACCUACCUUCCAGAUAGCUAAAUUGAAGCCCGUGUUUAUCAUAGCUGCUUCUAACCAGCCAGAGCUGAUAAUAACUAAGAACUUGCAGGAAUUGCAGUAUGCCAGACCUUCAAUUUAAUUGAAGACUUUCCUGAACAAUUAAUGAGACUUGUCUUAACCAGCAGGGAAUGGCUUUAGGGACUCAUUCUUCCCUAUGCAGGUGCAAGCCUCAAACCUUAAUUAGGAUCAUCCACCAUGAUCCUCGAGCCCUUCCCCGCCCUCAGAAUCUAGGAUAGCACCUGGCACACAUGGUGAGCACUCACUUCAUGGCUGUCGGAUAAACAAUGGAGCAAGGAAGGUGGAGAUGGAUGCUUACACAUGGGGAAUUGUAUCAGGAAGGAGUGUAUGUGUGAUUAAAACCUGUUCUACAUAAAUAGAAAAGUUGAUCAUUCAACACAUGGACGGCUAAGACUAUAUGCAGACUAUCCAUUCUCAGGAAGAAAAGGGAAGCAAUCUACCUGACUUCCCCAAAUGGAUUCCGUAUUUUGAUAUGAAUUGUUAUCAUGUGGGAAAUGCGAUGGCCUCCAGGUAUACUACCUCAGAGAUCAGUGAGCAGAAAAGCUCACAGAUCAAAUUAAAAUGCUUGAAUCUCUUAGUUUAUUUAAAUCAAUUUAAAGAGACAGUGAAAAGCAAGAGGAAAGAGAUGGGAUAAGUAAACGCUGUCAAGAGACGGUGCAAAUCUGGUGGAAGAUGCCUGCUACCUAAAGCCUACCUCAUACAAUGUUCAGGGGCCACCAUCCCCCACCUGCCCCAACCUCCACCCCUCUCUGUGAUAUUGACUUUCCUGUGGAUCGUGGUGCUGAAGACGACAGGUUUGAGCAAGGAGACUCAAAGAGGCAAGGUGCCCCACGCCAAUGACACAAACUUGCUCUGUCCGAGAUGCAGGUACAAGCAAGCCUAGCAAAGAGCUGAGCUUUGCCUGUUGGCCUGUGGAGCAACCAUGGGUUUUACUGUGUUUCUUGGACAGAGGACACUUGGGGACAGAAGUGAAUAGCAUGACUAUUUCAUGCUUAUGUAUAUUUUAUGCACUGUAUUUAGUGCCUCUUGGACAUUUAAUGUAUCAAAUAUUUCAUGCUCAGGUGUCUCAUGUAUACUUGGUAGCUAGGAAUGUUAGGUAUCCUGGACUUUCUAUUCCUUUCUGUGUCUAACACAUGUUCUACUUACUACUUAACACAUCUAAUAAAAUCUGCCUAUGUUUGUGCUUCAGGUCUGAUGGGACAGACUUUAAAGACUCACACGAAUAAAAAGGCUUAGACAAAAAAGUGAAGAUUGGCUGAGAUCUGAAAUUACGCAGGAAUUAAUGAGCUGAAGGAUGGGAAGGCCCAUUCCAGGCAGAGGGGACAGUAU
This 2109-nucleotide long non-coding RNA is filed under the name Homo sapiens (human). Its description in RNAcentral is "long non-coding RNA NONHSAT208742.1". Lineage: Eukaryota; Metazoa; Chordata; Mammalia; Primates; Hominidae. The record is from RNAcentral.